Long non-coding RNA from Chinchilla lanigera (long-tailed chinchilla), 331 nucleotides. RefSeq lists it as uncharacterized. Lineage: Eukaryota; Metazoa; Chordata; Mammalia; Rodentia; Chinchillidae. The transcript is spliced from 3 exons. The record is from RefSeq and is a predicted model, not a curated record.
GGCCGCGCGGGGCUGUGUAGGGACAGAGACCAGCACGCCUCCGCCUCCGUCGCUGCCUCUGGCACCCACCCCCGUCAGAACAGGCAAAAGCUUUGUAUUUAUAGGGAACUCUCCAGGGAGGACAACUGAGUCACCCAGAGAUACCUUCCACUCCUGGGUCCUUAGCCAAGUCACCAUGUUUACGCUAUCAGAACAUCUAACCCUCCAUAGUCGGGGGCCACCACGGCGGGACAGAAGCCUGGGACAAUAAAACAAGCCCCUGGGUGCCACAGGCUCUUCCCCUUCAUAACAGGAUCUCGCUAUGCAGUUCAGCUGGCCUUGAGCUCACUUU